Molecule: ribosomal RNA, 439 nt
Filed under: uncultured bacterium
Lineage: Bacteria
Description: partial 16S ribosomal RNA
Rfam family: Bacterial small subunit ribosomal RNA
Source: RNAcentral
CUACGGGACGCUCCAGUAGGGAAUAUUGCACAAUGGAGGAAACUCUGAUGCAGCAACGCCGCGUGGAGGAUGACACUUUUCGGAGCGUAAACUCCUUUUAUAUAGGAAGAAGAUGACGGUACUAUAUGAAUAAGCGCCGGCUAACUCCGUGCCAGCAGCCGCGGUAAUACGGAGGGCGGAAGCGUUACUCGGAAUCACUGGGCGUAAAGAGCGUGUAGGCGGAUUAAAAAGUCAGAAGUGAAAUCCUAUAGCUUAACUAUAGAACUGCUUCUGAAACUCUUAAUCUAGAAUAUGGGAGAGGUAGAUGGAAUUUCUGGUGUAGGGGUAAAAUCCGUAGAGAUCAGAAGGGAUACCGAUUGCGAAGGCGAUCUACUAGAACAUUAUUGACGCUGAGACGCGAAAGCGUGGGGAGCAAACAGGAUUAGAUACCCUCGUAGUC